CCUUUGACGUUAGCGGCGGACGGGUGAGUAACACGUGGGUAACCUACCUAUAAGACUGGGAUAACUUCGGGAAACCGGAGCUAAUACCGGAUAAUAUUUCGAACCGCAUGGUUCGAUAGUGAAAGGUGGUUUUGCUAUCACUUAUAGAUGGACCUGCGCCGUAUUAGCUAGUUGGUAAGGUAACGGCUUACCAAGGCUACGAUACGUAGCCGACCUGAGAGGGUGAUCGGCCACACUGGAACUGAGACACGGUCCAGACUCCUACGGGAGGCAGCAGAC
RNAcentral lists this ribosomal RNA (279 nucleotides) under uncultured Staphylococcus sp. RNAcentral's name for it is "partial 16S ribosomal RNA". It matches the Rfam family "Bacterial small subunit ribosomal RNA", at positions 83 to 354 of the family's 1533-position model. Lineage: Bacteria; Bacillati; Bacillota; Bacilli; Caryophanales; Staphylococcaceae. The record is from RNAcentral.